This 497-nucleotide ribosomal RNA is filed under the name uncultured bacterium. RNAcentral describes it as "partial 16S ribosomal RNA". It matches the Rfam family "Bacterial small subunit ribosomal RNA", at positions 28 to 507 of the family's 1533-position model. The record is from RNAcentral.
GACGAACGCUGGCGGCGUGCCUAAUACAUGCAAGUUGAGCGCUGAAGGUUGGUACUUGUACCAACUGGAUGAGCAGCGAACGGGUGAGUAACGCGUGGGGAAUCUGCCUUUGAGCGGGGGACAACAUUUGGAAACGAAUGCUAAUACCGCAUAAAAACUUUAAACACAAGUUUUAAGUUUGAAAGAUGCAGUUGCAUCACUCAAAGAUGAUCCCGCGUUGUAUUAGCUAGUUGGUGAGGUAAAGGCUCACCAAGGCGAUGAUACAUAGCCGACCUGAGAGGGUGAUCGGCCACAUUGGGACUGAGACACGGCCCAAACUCCUACGGGAGGCAGCAGUAGGGAAUCUUCGGCAAUGGACGAAAGUCUGACCGAGCAACGCCGCGUGAGUGAAGAGGGUUUUCGGAUCGUAAAAAUCUGUUGGUAGAGAAGAACGUUGGUGAGAGUGGAAAGCUCAUCAAGUGACGGUAACUACCCAGAAAGGGACGGCUAACUACGUG